UACAGAGGGGGCGAGCGUUGUUCGGAAUUACUGGGCGUAAAGGGCGCGUAGGCGGCCUUCUAAGUCGGACGUGAAAUCCCUCGGCUCAACCGGGGAACUGCGUCCGAUACUGGAUGGCUUGAAUUCGGGAGAGGGAUGCGGAAUUCCAGGUGUAGCGGUGAAAUGCGUAGAUAUCUGGAGGAACACCGGUGGCGAAGGCGGCAUCCUGGACCGAGAUUGACGCUGAUGCGCGAAAGCGCGGGGAGCGAACGGG
RNAcentral lists this ribosomal RNA (253 nucleotides) under uncultured bacterium. Its description in RNAcentral is "partial 16S ribosomal RNA". It matches the Rfam family "Bacterial small subunit ribosomal RNA", at positions 524 to 776 of the family's 1533-position model. The record is from RNAcentral.